This 1466-nucleotide ribosomal RNA is filed under the name uncultured bacterium. RNAcentral's name for it is "bacterial SSU rRNA". It matches the Rfam family "Bacterial small subunit ribosomal RNA". The record is from RNAcentral.
AGAGUUUGAUCCUGGCUCAGCUCGAACGUUGGCGGCGUGCUUGAUACAUGCAAGUCGAACGGUCUGAUUUAUCAGACAGUGGCGGAUUGGUGAGUAACACGUUGGUACCUGCCCCUAACACGAGAAUAACUUCGAGAAAUCGAAGCUAAUACUCGAUAGUCUAUAACUUAUUUUAUAUCUGUUAUAGUAAAGCUCCGGCGGUUAGGGAUGGGCUAGCGCACUAUCAGCUUGUUGGUAGGGUAAUGGCCUACCAAGGCGAUGACGGUUAGGGGGCCCGAGAGGGUGAACCCCCACAGUGGGACUGAGAUAUGGCCCACACUCCUACGGGAGGCAGCAGUAGGGAAUAUUCCGCAAUGCCCGCAAGGGUGACGGAGCGACGCCGCGUGCAGGAUGACAUUCUUCGGGAUGUAAACUGCUUUUAUAUGGGAAGAAAUCUGACUGUACCAUAUGAAUAAGUUGCGGCUAAUCACGUGCCAGAAGCCUCGGUGAUACGUGAGCAACGAACGUUGAGCGGAUUGAUUGGGCGUAAAGGGUGCGUAGGCGGUUAAGUAAGUCGAAUGUUAAAUAUUCUAACUUAAUUAGAAAAGUGCGUUCGAAACUACUUUGACUAGAACGUAAGUGGGGUGAGCGGAAUUCCCGGUGUAGGAGUGAAAUCCGUUGAUAUCGGGAGGAACACCAAUGGCGAAGGCAGCUCACUGGCUUAAUGUUGACGCUAAGUGCACGAAAGCGUGGGUAGCAAACGGGAUUAGAUACCCCGGUAGUCCACGCCCUAAACUAUGGACACUAGCUAUUGGCGGCAUCGACCCCGUCAGUAGUCACAGCUAACGCGUCAAGUGUCCCGCCUGGGGAGUACGGUCGCAAGACUAAAACUCAAAGGAAUUGACGGGGACCCGCACAAGCGGUGGAGCAUGUGGUUUAAUUCGACGCAACGCGAAGAACCUUACCAGGACUUGACAUCCCGAGAAUCCUCCUUAAUCGGAGGAGUGCCGCAAGGAGCUCGGUGACAGGUGCUGCAUGGUUGUCGUCAGCUCGUGUCGUGAGAUGUAAGGUUAAGUCCUCCAACGAGCGCAACCCCUAUUGUCUGUUUUAUAUGUCAGACGAAACUGCUCGGGUAACCGAGAGGAAGGUGGGGAUGACGUCAAAUCAGCAUGGCCCUUACGUCCUGGGCUACACACGUGCUACAAUGGGCGAGACAACGGGUAUAUGCCAAACCGCAAGGUGGAGCUAAUCCUAAUAAACUCGCUCCCAGUUCAGAUUGAAGGCUGAAAUUCGCCUUCAUGAAGUUGGAAUCGCUAGUAACUGCAGGUCAGCUAUACUGCGGUGAAUACGUUCUCGGGUCUUGUACACACCGCCCGUCACGCCACGAAAGUCAGCAACACCCGACAGUCGCGCUUGUCGCGGACUAAGGUGGGGCUGGUAAUUGGGACGAAGUCGUAACAAGGUAUCCGUACGGGAACGUGCGGAUG